AUUUAUCUACCGUAACAAUACCCCGUCUAGCGAAAACAAUAUCCGGUGGUGUCGAGGAAAUGCGGCCGCGUGCACCUCAUCCAGCCGGCGGCCUUCACCGUGCUUCUUCCACAUCGGCGCACUUCACAGAUUGCAGGACGGGAGUUGGGUAGCCGGGCUGCUCGACCAACAUGAGAUUGAUCCAUGCGGCACGGUGACUCAACUGUCCGGGCGAGAUGCGGACGACAGCGGAUUGAUGAGAUGGCUCGAAGAUGGAGACAAGAUGCGUUCGACGGUGGCUCAAUCAUGACGAUAAAGAUGCGGACACACACCCCAGCGUUGGUCCGUUGGACGUCCUUGCAGUCGUAUGAUGGGCUGAUGCAUGGAAAAAAGAAGUCAUGCCGCCUGUCGCGUUGAUUCACUGGGUUUCCUUUAGUUGGGUUAGCUUGCUCCACAUCUGUUUGUUGCUCUUCCGAUUUGGUAGAACACCGGCGGAAACGUGCUAUUAGGGUGAAAUACUUGGGCUGCAUAUAAUUAUCUGGAUCUGUCCGAUGUAUAGUGCUUCAUCAAAUGAAGUAUAUAGUCAUUGAAACAAAUAGUAUAUACCUUCCUAAUCUAGAAAAUUGUUGUAAGUAUACUUUUUUUGUAUAGUACUCCUAUCUGAUGUGAGAAAAGGUAAGUAUA
This is a long non-coding RNA of Triticum aestivum (bread wheat), 663 nucleotides long. RefSeq lists it as uncharacterized. The transcript has 2 exons. Lineage: Eukaryota; Viridiplantae; Streptophyta; Magnoliopsida; Poales; Poaceae. The record is from RefSeq and is a predicted model, not a curated record.